This 255-nucleotide ribosomal RNA is filed under the name uncultured bacterium. Its description in RNAcentral is "partial 16S ribosomal RNA". It matches the Rfam family "Bacterial small subunit ribosomal RNA", at positions 219 to 473 of the family's 1533-position model. The record is from RNAcentral.
CAUCAGAUGUGCCCAGAUGGGAUUAGCUAGUAGGUGGGGUAAUGGCUCACCUAGGCGACGAUCCCUAGCUGGUCUGAGAGGAUGACCAGCCACACUGGAACUGAGACACGGUCCAGACUCCUACGGGAGGCAGCAGUGGGGAAUAUUGCACAAUGGGCGCAAGCCUGAUGCAGCCAUGCCGCGUGUAUGAAGAAGGCCUUCGGGUUGUAAAGUACUUUCAGCGGGGAGAAAGGUGUUGUGGUUAAUAACCACAGC